This 492-nucleotide ribosomal RNA is filed under the name uncultured bacterium. Its description in RNAcentral is "partial 16S ribosomal RNA". It matches the Rfam family "Bacterial small subunit ribosomal RNA", at positions 29 to 507 of the family's 1533-position model. The record is from RNAcentral.
AGUGAACGCUGGCGGUAGGCCUAACACAUGCAAGUCGAACGGCAGCACAGUAAGAGCUUGCUCUUACGGGUGGCGAGUGGCGGACGGGUGAGGAAUACAUCGGAAUCUACUUUUUCGUGGGGGAUAACGCAGGGAAACUUACGCUAAUACCGCAUACGACCUACGGGUGAAAGCAGGGGAUCUUCGGACCUUGCGCGAUUGAAUGAGCCGAUGUCGGAUUAGCUAGUUGGCGGGGUAAAGGCCCACCAAGGCGACGAUCCGUAGCUGGUCUGAGAGGAUGAUCAGCCACACUGGAACUGAGAAACGGUCCAGACUCCUACGGGAGGCAGCAGUGGGGAAUAUUGGACAAUGGGCGCAAGCCUGAUCCAGCCAUACCGCGUGGGUGAAGAAGGCCUUCGGGUUGUAAAGCCCUUUUGUUGGGAAAGAAAAGCAGCAGGUUAAUACCCCGCUGUUCUGACGGUACCCAAAGAAUAAGCACCGGCUAACUUCGUG